AAUCUGGUUUAUUAUUGGCAUCAACAUUUCAGAUUUGCAAAGGGAGACGUGACAUCAAGUUUGGAAGAAAGCUGAAUUACUGGGACUAACAGAGUGAAAAGAAUAUGGACUUUCAAGGAGUGGACACUGCAGUUUCCAGCGUUCUGUGACCUGUAAUAGUGCGACAGACUGAAUGCAGAAGCACAUAAACGAAUCCAGCUCUGUGAUUAAGCCAAGACAUUAAAGAGAUCUUCAAAAUGAAAACCAAUGCCACUUCUCUAAUAGACUUUUUUGUUUUGGAAAAUUUGUUUUUCCACGAAAGUAUUAUUUCUGUUACCAUAUAAUGGGUUAUUCUUUUUAAAUAAAUUAAUAUUUUUUAAAUGUCUUAGCUUUAAUUUCAAAGGUGGUAAAUAUCAGUAUGUAUUACAUGUAUGUAUUAUCUCUAACCCACAUAAGAGCUCUCUGGGGUCCUCAAUAAUUCUUAAGAGGGUAAAGGAGUCUCGAGACCAAAACUUCAGGAACCCUAAUACAGCCAUUCCAAACCUAACAAGGAAAAUAGUUUUACUUCGAGUUUCAUGUUCAUGGUGAAGUCAAGAAGAGAACGUGGUAACCUGGUUUGAUGGAGGGAGAUGAUGAGUUCGGCGUCAGUCUUUCCCAAUACCUUGCAAAAUGUUCAUGAAUUCCUGCACCCCACCCUCUGCAUUCAUCACCUCGCCUGCGCUUCUUCCCAGCCUUCCUUAGGUCUCCCAGAGCAGUGUCCACAUCCCUUUCUUUUGCAUUUUAAGUCCUCUGGAUGACUGCCCC
Molecule: long non-coding RNA, 783 nt
Filed under: Homo sapiens (human)
Lineage: Eukaryota; Metazoa; Chordata; Mammalia; Primates; Hominidae
Description: HSALNT0251902
Source: RNAcentral